UUUCCCUUUUUCCCUUUCAAAAAAGAAUUAAGCCAUGCAUGUCUAAGUACAUGCCGAAAUAAGGCGAAACCGCGAAUGGCUCAUUUAAAUCAAAAAAGUUGUAAAUAUGGUUCCUUAGAUCGUUUCUUCCUACUUGGAUAACUGUGGCAAUUCUAGAGCUAAUACAUGCAGUGAGCCUGGAGCCCUUUGGGUAACGGGUGCUUUUAUUAGACCAAGAUCGAUCGGGUUUCGGCCCGUAUUGUGUGGUGACUCUGGAUAACUUUGUGCUGAUCGCAUGGCCACGAGCCGGCGACGUUUCUUUCAAGUCUGCCACCUUACAACUUUCGAUGGUAGGUUACUUGCUUACCAUGGUUGUUACGGGUAACGGAGAAUCAGGGUUCGAUUCCGGAGAGGGAGCCUGAGAAACGGCUACCACAUCCAAGGAAGGCAGCAGGCGCGCAAAUUACCCACUCCCGGCACGGGGAGGUAGUGACGAAAAGAAUACCAGUACCCGGGGGGGGAAAAAAAAAAAAACCACUCUUUUGAGGCCCCGUAAUUGAAAUGAGUACACUCUAAAUCCUUUAACGAGGAUCAAUUGGAGGGCAAGUCUGGUGCCAGCAGCCGCGGUAAUUCCAGCUCCAAUAGCGUAUACUAAAGCUGCUGCGGUUAAAAAGCUCGUAGUUGGAUCUCAGUUCCAGACGAGUAGUGCAUCUACCCGAUGCGACGGCUCGGACUGAACAUCAUGCCGGUUCUUUCUUGGUGCACUUCAUUGUGUGCCUCGAGAUGGCCGGUGCUUUUACUUUGAAAAAAUUAGAGUGCUCAACGCAGGCGAGUCGCCUGAAUAAACUUGCAUGGAAUAAUAGAACAAGACCUCGUUUCUGUUCUGUUGGUUUUUGGAAUACGAGGUAAUGAUUAAGAGGGACGGACGGGGGCAUUCGUAUUGCGGCGCUAGAGGUGAAAUUCUUGGACCGUCGCACGAACUACUGCGAAAGCAUUUGCCAAGAAUGUGUUUUCAUUGAUCAAGAACGAAAGUCAGAGGUUCGAAGGCGAUCAGAUACCGCCCUAGUUCUGACCAUAAACGAUGCCAACCAGCGAUCCGCCUGAGUUACUCAAAUGACUCGGCGGGCAGCUUCCGGGAAACCAAAGUAUUUGGGUUCCGGGGGAAGUAUGGUUGCAAAGCUGAAACUUAAAGGAAUUGACGGAAGGGCACCACCAGGAGUGGAGCCUGCGGCUUAAUUUGACUCAACACGGGAAAACUUACCCGGCCCGGACACUGGGAGGAUUGACAGAUUGAGAGCUCUUUCUUGAUUCGGUGGAUGGUGGUGCAUGGCCGUUCUUAGUUGGUGGAGCGAUUUGUCUGGUUAAUUCCGAUAACGAACGAGACUCUAGCCUAUUAAAUAGGUGCGGGGUUCCCAGCACCUUACAACCUUCUUAGAGGGACAAGCGGCGCCUAGCCGCACGAAACAGAGCAAUAACAGGUCUGUGAUGCCCUUAGAUGUCCGGGGCCGCACGCGCGCUACACUGAAGGAAGGAAGCAUACGUACUUUAUCCCUGUCUGAAAAGACUGGGUAACCCGUGGAACUUCUUUCGUGAUUGGGAUAGGGGCUUGCAAUUGUUCCCCUUGAACGAGGAAUUCCCAGUAAGCGCGAGUCAUAAGCUCGCGUUGAUUACGUCCCUGCCCUUUGUACACACCGCCCACGUCGGCAACUACCCCGAUUGAAUUAAAAUUUUUUUUUUAUUGAUGGUCUUCGGACCGAUGUCCGGCGCGGCCUUUCGGUUGCGCCGGUCUGUUGGAAAGAUGACCAAACUUGAUCAUUUAGAGGAAGUAAAAGUCGUAACAAGGUUUCCGUAGGUGAACCUGCGGAAG
Molecule: ribosomal RNA, 1846 nt
Filed under: Rhipicephalus microplus (southern cattle tick)
Lineage: Eukaryota; Metazoa; Arthropoda; Arachnida; Ixodida; Ixodidae
Description: SSU rRNA
Rfam family: Eukaryotic small subunit ribosomal RNA
Source: RNAcentral